GCCGUUGUCCUGUUACUGGAGACAGGCACCUCAUGACAGAGAAGCCGUACCACAGUGCUUCACAGAUAAUAUCACCGAUGUUGAAACUCUGCCACUGGCCGGACCUUUUCAGAGGAAUAAGAAAACAUGUCACCGGUAUUUUUUUUCCACCCGAGUCCAUUUAACAACCUCUAAGCAGCAUGUUUCUUCCUGUUCUCAGCCUGUUGUAAGCUCUGAGCAGUGCUGUACCAGGAGAAGGCCAUUUAAAAGGCCUCCUGAGACCGGGUCAUUUAUGUCAGCAAGGUGUUUUGUGAAAUUAACACAUACUACUUGUCAUGGGGCUAUUGUAACAGAAAUCUAUUCCUCUGCAGUUGCCUCCUGAGACUACAAAUCAUUUUCCCCGCCUGGAGCCAUGUUUUCUAAAAGAAAGCCAAGAGAUGGCUUUAGGUUAUUAUGGAGGUGACAUUGUGGGCUCGAGCACAGUCAGGCUCCUGUGAUUUUUUUUUUGAAACUGAUGGAUGCAGUUGUUAAAAAGAUACUAUGACUUUAAAAAGUUACAAAGCUCCAAGCUCUUAACUUUUUCAUACUUUUUAACCUCAGACCUCAUUUUUGAAGAGUGAACUGUCAGACUUUGGGUUUCUAAAUUGUCCUUUCUUGUGGUUAUAGUCACAGUGUCACAGGGAGACUCAUUUCCCUGGACUUGUGUCAAGCCGUCAGCACUGUGAACAUCGCUUAAUCAUUGUAAGCUUCUCCUUUAUUUGUAAAGGGAGGAGAUUGGACCUCCCUGUCUUCACGCAGUGCCUACUGCGCGGUAUGGCUUACUUUAUGAGAAAUUUAGAUCGGUUCAUAGAAUACAUACAAAAGCGCCCAUCUCAGAUGAUUGUGAUGCAAAAUAGGGGGAUAAUUGUGUUUGAGCUCUUUCUUGUAUUUGAGGCCUCGCCAACAACCUCCUGACAACUACCUUCGGUAUAUUUCGCCAACUUGACAACUCCUGACAACUUGAUUCAAGCAGGUUAUGCUCCCAAGGCACCUAGGCUCACUUCUGCAAUCCCAGCUGCCAAAUCCUGAUGCAGGAGGAUAAGAGGCUUAAGGUUAACCUCAGCCACACAAGCCCAGCCACACCUACCCUGGAGGAAUGUCCGCAGUGUUGCUUGGUACUGUCGGCUGCUCGACCUCACUUGUAACUCAAGUACAGAAACAAUUGAUGCUGUAAUUUACAGUUACCAAUAACGUCGUGUCAAGCAUUCAUAUAAUUCACACGUGCAUAGAAAUUAAUGAUCCCUCUGUGACUCAGCCUUCACAUCAAGAUGGAGAACUCUCAUCUCCUCCGACACUAUGUCUGCCUGUGUCUGCCAUGCUCUCUGACAUGAUGAUAAUGGACUAAACCUCUGAAACUGCCAGCCAGCUCCAAUUAAAUGAUUGCCUUUAUAAGAGUUGCCUCGGUCAUGGAACCCUAAGACAGGUGCUAUAGUGAUUUUGCUAAUCAAAAUUUUGGGAACAAAAAUACACCACGAUCAUAUCUUGCCAAUGUGAGAGUCUAUUAUCAUUGUAUAAAGAACUUUUGUGGUUGCUUGUGACCCCAACCAAGACCCUUUGGGGUGGAGGUAAGAAGGCAGAGUCAAUGACGCAGACUCCAGGAGUCAGGCAAGUGGCAAAAGCAGACUUGUUUAUUGCUGUAACUCAGCAGAUCUUCAUAUCCCCCUCUCAGCCUUUCAUUGCAUCUCAAGUAGCCAGAUGGAGAACUAUCUCUUUCUCAUUGGCUUGCUCUAUCACUGGAUCCAGUACCAGCAGUCCCUAGCCACACUGGUAGAUCUAGGUAGGCUUGGGGAGGAAGAAUCAAGCAGUGCAUGCACCAGCAUUGUAGCUAGUUUCUCCUACAUUUUUAAAAAUUUUGACUUGAUUCCUGUGAUGGUUUGUAUAUCCUUGGCCUGGGGAGUGGCACUAUUAGGAGGUGUGGCCCUGUUGAAGUGGGUGUGGCCUUUUUGGAGGAGGUGUUGCCUUUUUGGAGUAGGUGUGUCACUGUGGGCGUGGUCUUAAGACCUUCACUCUAGCUGCCUGGAAGCCAGCAUUCUCCUAGCAGCCUUCAGAUGAAGAUGUAAAACUCUCAGCUCUGCCUGAACCGUCCCUGCCUGGACGCUGCCAUGCUCCUGCCUUGACGAUAAUGGACUGAACCUCUGAACCUGUUAAGCCAGCCAUAAUUAAAUGUUGUCCUUUAUAAGAUUUGCCUUAGUCAUGAUGUCUGUACACAGCAGCAAAAUUCUAAGACAAUUCCCAAUCAUAGGAAAAAUGUCCUAUGUGCCAAUUCUGGCGAUGUUUCUUGCCUUUUAUAACUAACUCAUUAUCUCAAACAUCACUGCCUUCCCUCUGAGUUUACACUGAAUGCAUAUUACAGAAAGUCCACAUUAUUUCCAGCUUUCUCAGUACUGUGGGGCUUUUGUAGGACUCUGGGAGUAUAUAACAGUGUCUUUAGAAGCUCUGUAUCAUUCACGAUGUAUAAUAGACGUAGUUUCAGUUCCUAACCGGAAGUCAGAGGGAAUUGCUAAUCAACCUGAAGUUGCCUUCAUAAAGUUGUUAAUUUUUCUCAUAGUCUUACAUCCUUCAAAUCUAUAAGCAAUUUUCUAUGUGUUCUACUGAGGAAAAUUAUUGGUGUAAAAUUAUAAAAAGCUGUCUUUUACCCUGCUAGGUCCAUCACUGCAGUGCCCCAAGAUAUCUGAUAGAUAUCAUAGUUUCAGUCAGCAAAGCAUCUCACCCGCUCUGCUCCAUUCCUUAUCACAUUGCCAAAGGCCUCCCUCUGAGCCUGGCAGCUAUCUCUCUAUACAUCCAGUUCCCAUAGUAGGUUUCCAUGCCAGAAAGACACAUUCCAUCUCUGUGGCAGCCCAGACUAGCCACCACACACUCUCUUGCACUUAAAUCUAUCUGUACAUGAAAGAACAUACAACACAAUAACCUCUGAUCCAAUUGAUAAGAUAUAAUUGCCCACCUAAACAUACAAAGCCCUGUUCACAUCCAGCCCUUAAGAACAUUCAUAACAACCUGUAAAAGCACAACAUGGAAUCUUAACAUCAGCUUCCUUGUUCUCUCUCCACAGCUACUCUCAGUCUCCUCCUGUCUCUUCCUCCUUUCCGUUCCAGUCUCCUCCCCUUCCCUCAAACUUUUCUCCCAUCCAUCCUUCCUUCUUGUCCAAUGACAGGCCUCAUUCUAUCCUAUACCGGCCCUCACCUGUAUGACAUCAUCCUACAGAAAAUAUGUCUCUAGAGGUACAUUCUCCUGAUUCGUUUAUACGAGAUAUCUGUGUCUUUAAGCUUUAUCGUUACAGAAGUUCACUUGGAAAGACUAUGAUGUCUCCAUUGACAUUUGAGCUGUGAAGCCUGCUGCCAUCUUAAUGAUUCAUUUCAUCGACUGGACUUGUAAUCCAGAAUGUAUGGCCAGAAUGGUCAAGAAGUUAUGUCUUAUAGAAAUAACUCCACAUCCAUGAAUCUACAUUACAGUACUGACCAGAUGGGCUAUGGGUACCACCUUCUCCUCCUAAUAUUAAUGUCUAAGGUUCUAUAGAAGAAGCAGCCCAUGUGUUUGUUACUGGAAUGUUCCAGAAAAGAUUAAAGGGAAAGGGGAGGAAGAAGCUGGAGUGGGGGAGACAGAAUAAAAAGGAGGAAAACAGAACACAGAGUGUGGAGUCUUUAUAUUCAAGUCAACAUUGCUCACAUAAUCUCUGCCUGCUUCUUGGGCUAGGAUUUGAUCCCUAGUAGGUAGGUAGGUUCAUGUUGUGGUCUAAUUAAUCUAUCCAGAAUACACAACCUAGGUAACACAGACAUUCUGAUCAAUUAUUUUCAAAGUUGAUUUACUUAGUUGAGAGAUGUUAUUUGCUUAUUAAUGAAGAAGCUGAAUGAAGAACUUUAAUAGAAUACAUUAGCUUGAUGGUUAAACAAAACUGGACAUUACAGUCAUUGCUGUAAUAUUCCUAUCACAGAGGUCAAAUGUGAUGAUGUUUACUUUUCAAAAUACGUUUAAAAAACUGAGAUUGUGUCGGCUUAAACACAUUUCUAUUGUUCCACUAUGGCUUUGCUCUAAGUCAAGUUGGACGGCAGGAUGGGAGUGGGACAAUCAAAGCCCAGAGCCGACACAAGCAGAGAGGAGUUCUCAUUACAAAUCAUGAUCUAUAAGGUGGGGUAGA
Rattus norvegicus (Norway rat) is the source of this 4150-nucleotide long non-coding RNA. RefSeq lists it as uncharacterized. Lineage: Eukaryota; Metazoa; Chordata; Mammalia; Rodentia; Muridae. The record is from RefSeq and is a predicted model, not a curated record.